Long non-coding RNA from Apis cerana (Asiatic honeybee), 1815 nucleotides. RefSeq lists it as uncharacterized. NCBI's taxonomy places the organism in Eukaryota, Metazoa, Arthropoda, Insecta, Hymenoptera, Apidae. The record is from RefSeq and is a predicted model, not a curated record.
AGUAGGUGUAAAUUUCCUAAUUGUGAAAGUUUUCAAAUUAAUCGUGAAUAAAAAUAUUCCUUAUAUUUUUUCUUGUAUUUUCUACACAAAAAACAUUUAUAUAUGUGAAUCUAUUAUUUAUAAAAUUUGCGAUUUGAUUUAGUGUGAUUUGAUUAUGAUUGAAAAUACAAUUUAUGUUUAAAUAUUCGCUAAAUGUUAGGUUAAGAUGGUCAAAGUAUAAGUAAGAUAUUUAUUGAAAAAUUAUAAGACAUUUAUAUUUAAUUAAACAAUCAAAAUAUAAAAGAAGUUAUUUUAUAAUGAAAAAGAUAUAUUAAAAAUAUAUAUUAAAAAAAAACAUUAAAUUAAAAUAUUCAAUUUUCAUCGAUUAAAUUUUAUUAUGAAUAGUUCUAUUUCAUAGAAGUAUAAAAUAAUAUGAUUUGCAUUUGAACAUUCGAGGAAGAAUUUUAAUGAAAUAUAUGUGAUAUAAAAGUAAAGUAAAAAAUAGAUAAGAAAUUUCAGGAUAGAAUUUCGAAUAAAUCUUAUAUUUUUCAUUCCUACAAUAUCUUGUUUGAACAAUCAGUAAGGAUAAGCAGUUUGCGCAACAAUGAAAGUACGUCGCAGAGAAGUAAAGAUUCAUUGUUGAAAACGACAUUCCGAUCAUUCCCGCAAUAGCUCUGAUCUUAAUGGAUCAAAUGAAAUAAUCGAUUAAUACAUAAUACGUGACAAAUUCAACAAAUGAUUUUCAUUGCAUCAUUGGAACGCUAAUGACAACAAUUGAAGAACAUCAAUAUGCUUUUUCUUUUUUGCUGAGAUCAGAUAAUUUCGUAAGAAUAAAAUUCGUGUCACAAUAAGGUGUAUAUUAACUAAGAAAUCAACUAAGAAAUCACACAAAUCAAUCAUAAAAACCAAGAUUGAAUAAUAAAGAAUAAAUGCAUUUAUGAUUUAACGAUUAAUAUUUAUAGAUAAACGGUUUAAAUAAUUUUUUGAAGAGAAAAAAAAAAGAAGAAAUAAGAACUAAGAAACAACUCUCAAUAAGCCGAUGUAGCGACUUACAAGCAUGAUGAUCGAUUAAGUUCGAGUUACACUAGCGGUCUAGUCACGCUACGAUCACGACUUUGGUCGCAGAAGCUUCAAACAUUAUUCAAUGCUCUGAAGUGUAACUGACACAUGAAUGUUGAUGAGUACUGGAACAUCGAAAAACAAGGUUUAUUCUCAUGACUCAAGGUUUUUAAACUUAGACGUGUGAAUUCUGUGCUAUUCCUUUGUUUUGUUUCAGAUGUUUAUAUUUCCUGGUAAUUUUGAUAUCUUAAUUUCUUGAAUAUUUUUUUUUAAUUUUAUUCACAAUUUCUACGUUUCCUCUAUUAUUCCUUCUCUCGCUUUGCGCGUUCUAUUAUAUAAUUCAAAUAACAAUUUUAAAAUAAGGGAUUCAACAUUAUCUUAACUUAAUUUUAACUUAAUCUUAACUUAAUUGAUUUCAGAAGAUAUAAUUAAAUUUAAUAUACGUAAUAUGUUAUAGAGAGUCACGUACUUAGUUGGCUUUGUUUCAGAAAUGAAAACAAGUAUGAUUUGCUUUCUAUGCAACACGUGCAAGUAUUAUAUACAAUGGUUUCCGGUUAAAACAAGUUGAUAACAGAAACCGAUAUAAAAAAAAACAAACACAUCUUCUGCAAAAUAUUACCAGAGAUUAAUCUUCAAACUCAAUCAUUUUCUGUUCACAAAAGAAAUAGCAUUAUUUUCUAAUUAUUUGUAUAAAAUAAAAAGUAAUUAAAUAUGAAGUACGUUUUAUUAUAAAUUUAUAAUGAAAUUUAUAAUAUAAUAAAUUUUUACCAAAAUAUA